AAGACUAUAGACCUGCGGAGUACCUGCGGAGGGAUCAUUAUGGGAAGAAGGAAGGCAACACAAAGCUGUUGUCCAACAAAAAAUUAUCGCAACUAGAACGGAUUGUUUCAGAGUGAGUGUGGGGGGGGGGUUGACUUGACUUGACUUGACUUGACUUGACUUGACUUGACUUGACUUGACUUGACUUGACUUGACUUGACUUGACUUGACUUGGACACACACGCACAGGAAAAGGAUUUG
Molecule: unclassified non-coding RNA, 240 nt
Filed under: soil metagenome
Description: partial contains 5.8S ribosomal RNA, internal transcribed spacer 2, and large subunit ribosomal RNA
Source: RNAcentral